This 321-nucleotide ribosomal RNA is filed under the name uncultured eukaryote. RNAcentral's name for it is "partial 18S ribosomal RNA". It matches the Rfam family "Eukaryotic small subunit ribosomal RNA", at positions 1470 to 1796 of the family's 1831-position model. The record is from RNAcentral.
CCCUUAGAUGUCCUGGGCCGCACGCGCGCUACACUGACAUGUUCAACAAGCCUCCUAGUUCGACAGGAUUUGGGAAAUCUUUGAACGCAUGUCGUGAUAGGGAUAGAUCAUUGCAAUUAUUGAUCUUGAACGAGGAAUUCCUAGUAAACGCGAGUCAUCAGCUCGCAUUGAUUACGUCCCUGCCCUUUGUACACACCGCCCGUCGCACCUGCCGAUUGAAUGUUUCGGUGAAGAUUCCGGAUAGGACUUUUUUGAUUUAUUUCAAUUUUGUCUUAAAAGCUAUCUAAACCUCAACAUUUAGAGGAAGGUGAAGUCGUAACA